Molecule: long non-coding RNA, 513 nt
Filed under: Cricetulus griseus (Chinese hamster)
Lineage: Eukaryota; Metazoa; Chordata; Mammalia; Rodentia; Cricetidae
Description: lncRNA (ENSCGRG00000026315.1)
Source: RNAcentral
UUUGAAAGAUAAUCAUAAGCAUUAGUGAUGCAUAGUAAGAAAUAGAAACCAUAGGUAAAGACAAGAAACAUUAAAAUUUCUAGUUUCACAGAUGCCUACGAUUUUCAUAAAAUUAAAACUAUUUCCAAAGUCCUUCCAACAAGUUCUCACCUAGCAUUGUCAUCAAGCAUCUUGGAUGUCACCCCACCCCGAAACAAACAGCAUCAAGGAUGGCAAAGAUAAAGAAGAUGUUUGGAGCUACAGCUCUCAAGGGACAACUGGACAGGAUCCUAGGAGAAGGAAACAUUAAAACAAACAUAAAGAAACUAGUUGGAAGAGAAAAAGUAAAUCUUCCCACACUCGAGUUACACAUAACAAACAACCUGCUCAAAAAAAGCCGGCAGUUUAUAAAUGUGUGUGAGAGGUAGGUGCUGCAUAAAUGGCUAUAAAAUGCAAUGAAGCUUGUGGCAAACAGCUUUGCAGAUGUCUUGCCUCCCUCUUGCUAGCUAACUUCCAUUCCCGAGAACACUUCCC